UGCCCCAUUAAUGGUGCAGACGUAACUGGUUAGUUACGUUUGCACCAUUAAUGGUGCAGACGUUACUAGUUAGUUAUGUUUGCACCAUUGAUUGAUAGGAAACAGACCGAUUAAAAAAC
Molecule: non-coding RNA, 119 nt
Organism: Operophtera brumata (winter moth)
Lineage: Eukaryota; Metazoa; Arthropoda; Insecta; Lepidoptera; Geometridae
Source: Rfam